Long non-coding RNA from Planococcus citri (citrus mealybug), 861 nucleotides. RefSeq lists it as uncharacterized. Lineage: Eukaryota; Metazoa; Arthropoda; Insecta; Hemiptera; Pseudococcidae. The transcript is spliced from 2 exons. The record is from RefSeq and is a predicted model, not a curated record.
GAGCCUCUUAUCUUGAAAUUUUUCAUCAAGUGGAGUGGAUACUGAAUAAUUUCACGACAAGAAUAUUGGAAUUUUAUUGCUCCACAAAGGUCUUUCAAGUUACAUCUAUAGGUAAUAGGGUACGUGACCGGACCACAAAAAAAUGACCCUAAAUAACGAAUGCACAUAAUGGCAUUCAAAAUAAACCUGUUCUGCAAUUUGAAACCUUGUCAUCUAUAGAUCAGAAAGCUUCAAUAGACGCGGUUUUUAUACGACUAGCCGUGCUACGAUUGAAGACAUUGAAGAUACAUCUGUUCGCAUAAAAACAAAUCUUAUGGAACAUUAUAAACUAUUGGCUCAUGCUGCGGAGAUCCCCAACGUAAAAACGCUUCAUAUCGGCGUUGGAGCAUUUGUUAUGAAACGAUCUAAAACGUGUUGAAAUGAACAGAAGAGUUCGUGAGUUGAAAUGACUGAUUCUCAUAUGUAAGAAUGCAUUAUCAAUAGCUGUAGAACCGGAGAAUACAUAUAAAUCGACUCGUCAAUUAAUACCACCACCGUCCACGUGGUAAAGUUAGCUAUCUAUAGACUCUAACCAACCGAACUUUGAACAAAGACCAAACAAUCGAGAUCUAGAUUGCUAAAAUGGAGAAAAAAAAGGUAAUUACGAAUUUGGCGGUAUAGUUGUUGUAAGCUGAAUCAUAAUGGACAUUAUCGCUUGAAACAGUUCUAGUAUGUAGAUCUUUUAACAAUAUUAUGUAACACAUUUUUCUACAUAUUUCAUUUUCUCUUAUAGUUUUUCAAAUUGUAACAUCGAUAAGUCGAUGAAAGAAACUGAAAAAGUAAAUUUUUUGUUUAGAUUAUGAAAUACAAUUUUUCAUCAUU